This 1140-nucleotide long non-coding RNA is filed under the name Vitis vinifera (wine grape). RNAcentral describes it as "long non-coding RNA (VVIN_LNC004700)". The record is from RNAcentral. Lineage: Eukaryota; Viridiplantae; Streptophyta; Magnoliopsida; Vitales; Vitaceae.
GUAUACUGCUUUCGCCACAUGAAGGGUCGCCGUAUCAUGGCUCACCCUGCCGCUGUGGUGUAUCCGUCUGUGUCCAACGCUUUUCCCAUUUGAUGAUCGGCGUGCGCGCGGUGGACGCAAAAACUGUGUAGAUGUGCUGUUCUUGAUCUACUUGCAGUAAUAAUAGUAACAGUAAUCUACGUGGUUGAGUUGUGUAAAUGGUUUCUGGAGUAUUUGGUGAUUAAUGAAACGGAAAAUGUGGUGUUGCAGAAAAGGAAUGUGGAAAAUAUAAACAAAUAUUGCUGCGUGGAUGCCCAUUUUUCAUGCAUGACACGUGUUUUUGUUCCAUCAUACUUUUGGGAUUUUGAUUCCAUCGUAAUAAUCCACCCGGUAUAUGUGGGAAUCAGCAGGGAUUGAAAAAUCGGAAUUUAUCGGCGAUAUUUCGCCGAAAUAUCGGAUAUCGGUCGCCCCGAUUAUCGAUUUCCAGGAAUAUCGUCAAAAAAUCGGCCAACUGGAGGAGGAUUUCAAAAAAUCGCCAAAAAAAUCGCCGAUAUUUCAGUAUUUUUAUCGGGAAAUUUCCCGAUAUUUCCUACCAGUUCAGCCCGCGCAUAGGAUACAAAAUCUGUCCAUUUUUUUUUAAAAAAAAAGACAUAAGAUGCUAUUUGGUAAUCUGAUCAUGAUUUGCAGGCAAAGGUUUUGUUUUUCAGCCUGGCUCAAAAAUCGUGGAUUUAGGGUUCGUGAAAUUUAAAUCCAAUGGCACAACAGCAAAACAGAUCCAGAAAACAGAGGGAGCAAAAGAAAAGCAAUUUUUUGGUUUUCCUUGGAGGUUUUGCAUGGAUUUUCUCGGAAAUCAAACGAGGAUGAAUUUUCCCGGAAAUCGAAUUGGGGAUGGUUUUUCUUGGGAAUCAAACGGGGGUUGCAAAAAUAAUAAUAAUAACAAGAUUAGAUUAGUACCUGCGAGGAUUGAGAGUGGCAGAGGAAAAUAGGGCUUUUUUAGGGAUUCUCUCGUCUGGAGCUUGAUGCCCGAGUGAGAGAAGUCGGUGGCCCGAGUGAGAGAGGUCGGUGGCCCUUUUGAUUUUUAGAUUUAGUAGAGAUAAAAAAAAUAAACAAAUCAUGAGAACAAUUUUCCUCUCUCUAUGUAAAUAAUUAUUAAUUAUCCAC